Molecule: ribosomal RNA, 499 nt
Filed under: uncultured bacterium
Lineage: Bacteria
Description: bacterial SSU rRNA
Rfam family: Bacterial small subunit ribosomal RNA
Source: RNAcentral
ACUCAAAGGAAUAGACGGGGGCCCGCACAAGCGGUGGAGCAUGUGGUUUAAUUCGAGGCAACGCGAAGAACCUUACCAAGGCUUGACAUGGGGAUGCCCGGUAUAGAGAUAUACCAUUUCUUCGGAACAUCCCACACAGGUGGUGCAUGGUUGUCGUCAGCUCGUGUCGUGAGAUGUUGGGUUAAGUCCCGCAACGAGCGCAACCCUUAUGUUCAGUUGCCAUCGAGUAAUGUCGGGCUACACUGGAGAGACUGCCGUGGACAACACGGAGGAAGGUGGGGAUGACGUCAAAUCAUCAUGCCCCUUAUGUCUUGGGCUACACACGUGCUACAAUGGCGCCUACAGCGUGACGCAAGAUAGUGAUAUGGAGCGAACCACGAAAAGGCGUCCCAGUUCGGAUUGUAGGCUGCAACCCGCCUGCAUGAAGUUGGAAUCGCUAGUAAUCGCGAAUCAGCAUGUCGCGGUGAAUACGUUCCCGGGCCUUGUACACACCGCCCGU